RNAcentral lists this ribosomal RNA (497 nucleotides) under uncultured bacterium. Its description in RNAcentral is "partial 16S ribosomal RNA". It matches the Rfam family "Bacterial small subunit ribosomal RNA", at positions 28 to 507 of the family's 1533-position model. The record is from RNAcentral.
GAUGAACGCUGGCGGCGUGCCUAAUACAUGCAAGUCGAGCGAACAGACGAGGAGCUUGCUCCUCUGACGUUAGCGGCGGACGGGUGAGUAACACGUGGAUAACCUACCUAUAAGACUGGGAUAACUUCGGGAAACCGGAGCUAAUACCGGAUAAUAUAUUGAACCGCAUGGUUCAAUAGUGAAAGACGGUUUUGCUGUCACUUAUAGAUGGAUCCGCGCCGCAUUAGCUAGUUGGUAAGGUAACGGCUUACCAAGGCAACGAGGCGUAGCCGACCUGAGAGGGUGAUCGGCCACACUGGAACUGAGACACGGUCCAGACUACUACGGGAGGCAGCAGUAGGGAAUCUUCCGCAAUGGGCGAAAGCCUGACGGAGCAACGCCGCGUGAGUGAUGAAGGUCUUCGGAUCGUAAAACUCUGUUAUUAGGGAAGAACAAAUGUGUAAGUAACUAUGCACGUCUUGACGGUACCUAAUCAGAAAGCCACGGCUAACUACGUG